GUUUACCUGGCUAAGGCAUGACACCGCUUCCCUUUCAGAUUCCGGUGCAGUCCUCUGACCAUAUUGGGAAGGAUAUGUAAAAUGAUACGAGUUUCAGGGAAUAAGAAUGGGGGUGAGAGGAAUCACUGAGGAUGCCCAAGGACAAAGCAGCCGGAACAAGACAGAGUUUCUCUUGUUGCCCAGGCUGGAGUGCAAUGGCGUGAUCUUAGCUCAUCGCAACCUCUGCCUCCCAGGUUCAAACAAUUCUCCUGCCUCAGUCUCCUGAGUAGCUGGAAUUACAGUUUAUAGCUCAGCAGUCCCAAGAUGGCCGAAUAGGAACAGCUCCAGUCUACAGCUCCCAGCGUGAGUGAUGCAGAAGAUGGGUGACUUCUGCAUUUCCAACCAAGGUACCGGGUUUAUCUCACUGGGGCUUGUUGGACAGUGGGUGCAAUCCACGAAGUGUGAGCCAAAGCAGGGCGGGGCAUCACCUCACCCAGGAAGUGCAAGAGGUCGGGGAAUUCCCUUUCCUAGCUGAGGGAAGCCAUGACAGAUGGUACCUGGAAAAUCGGGACACUCCCAUCCUGAUACUGCACUUUUCCAAAGGUCUUAGCAAAUGGCACACCAGGAGAUUAUAUCCCACGCCUGGCUCAGAGGGUCCCACGCCCACGGAGCCUCGCUCACUGCUAGCACAGCAGUCUGAGACUGAACUGCAAGGUGGCAAUGAGGCUGGGGGAGGGGGGUCCACCAUUGCUGACGUUUGAGUAGGUAAACAAAACACUCCAGCCUGGGCGACGGACUGAGACUCUGUCUCAAAAAAAAAAAAAAGAAGACAUUUAUGCAGCC
Molecule: long non-coding RNA, 822 nt
Filed under: Homo sapiens (human)
Lineage: Eukaryota; Metazoa; Chordata; Mammalia; Primates; Hominidae
Description: non-protein coding SMILR:10
Source: RNAcentral